This 3991-nucleotide ribosomal RNA is filed under the name Triticum aestivum (bread wheat). RNAcentral's name for it is "partial small subunit ribosomal RNA". The record is from RNAcentral. Lineage: Eukaryota; Viridiplantae; Streptophyta; Magnoliopsida; Poales; Poaceae.
GAUCAACAUCAGUUCAAGCUAGUAGAUGCACCCACCUGCUGCCCAACCCCAAGGGCUCAUGAUGCCCAGGAACAAGAUGACUUGCCCGCUCAUGCUCAUGCUCAUGCUCAUGGGCUGGGAUUUAGUACCCAGGACCAGGAUGGUGUUGAUGCUGUCGCUGUGGAAGGUCAGGAGGUGCUGGAGCAAGGUGGUGUCGUUGCAGCUGGAAUCAUCGGUCAAGGCACACAAGAUGCCACUGCUGUUGCUGUCGCUGUUGGUGAUGAUGAUCAGGAGAAGAAGCCACUGGAGCAAUGUACUAGUACCACCUCCUCCUCUUGUGAAGAACUGACAACAACAAACAUGAAAGAUGAUGGUGCUAAGGAUGAUCAAGAGGCAGUGGAGCAAGGUGUCAUUGUUGAACAAGAGGUCGCACCCAUGGAUGAUGCCAUUGCUGUUGAUGAUGAUGAUCAGGAGAAGAAGCCACUGGAGCAAUCUAGUACCACUUAUGGUGACUUGGGAACAACCAUGGAGAAUGCUGCUGCUCUUGUGCAAGUUCAAGAGCAAGUGGUGGAGCAGCUAGAUGCCACCCAGCCAAGGGAUGAAGAUAUUGCUGCUGAGGGACAAGAGACACUGGGAGAUCAUCAGCCGGGAUCAACUGAGAAUGCUGAUGAUGCUGUGCAAGUUCAAGAGGAAGGUGAAACCGCAGAUGCCACUGCUGUAGAUGACCAUGACAAGGCAGUGGAGCAAUGCACCACUUACGAUGACUUGGGAACAACCAUGGAGAAUGAUGUUGCUAAGGAUGAUCAGGAGGUGCUGGAGCAAGGUGUCAUUGACCAAGGGGAUGAUGCAAGUACCAUAGAUGAUGAUAAUGCUGUCAAAGAUCUUGAGGUGCUGCUGCUAGGUGCCGUGGAAGGAACGCGCGCUACCACAGAUGGCAUUGCUGCUGUCGAGGAUCAAGGGAAGAAUGUGGAGCAAUGUGCCGCUUAUUAUGACCUGGGAACAACCAUGAAGAAUGAUGAUGCUUCUGUUGAAGAACAAGAGGUGGUGGAGGAAGGCGUUGUCGAUUUAACCAUGGAUGAUGAUGAUUCUGUCAAAGAUCACAAGCAGCAAGGUAUCAUUGACGGAACCGAUGACAUUGCUGUUGAGAAACAAGAGAAAGUGCUGGAGCAAUGUUCAAGAGCAACUAAGGGUGAGUACACUGUCAAAGAAAAGGAGAUGGUGGUGGAGCAAGGUGUCGUCGACCCAAAGUACAUGGAUCUUGCCACGGAAGAUCAGGUUAAGUUGUCGAUCAUAGACGACCAGGGUACAGUGCCCAUGGAUAAUAUUGUGGUGAAAGACCAGGAUAAGGCAGUGGUGCAAUAUGCCAGUGAUGCAAUAGUAACAAUCAAGGAUGAGAGUCCUGUGGAGGAACAUGAUACAGUGGGGAAUCAAGGUGUCAUCGACAAAAAUGGCAGAACCAAGGAUGAUAUUGAUGUAGAGGGACAUGGCUAUGUGAAUGAACAGGUCAUCGUCGAUAACUGGGGUACAUCCAGUGAUGCUACUGCUUUGGAAGGUCAGAAGAACGAGGCUGAGCCACGCAUGGGUGAUGAACAGAUAGCAGGCAAGGACAUGGAUGGUGUUCAUGCUGAGGGGAACAUGUUGGAGCAAAGGACCAGCGAUAAACAGGGAGCAACACAGUCUGAUUUCACUGUUGAUAAGCACAAGGAUAUAGCGGAGCGUGUCCGCCAUGAGUGGGGUGCACCUGAGGAUGAUCUUGCUAUGGACAGGACAGCUUACCAAGGUACCAGAGAUUGGGGUAUAGUUAACAAGGAGAAGGUUAAGCUGCCUGAGGAUGAUCGUGCUAUGGACACGGCAGCUUAUCAAGGUACCGGAGAUUGGGGUAUAGUUAACAAGGAGAAGGUGCUGCCUGAGGAUGAUCGUGCUAUGGACAUGGCAGCUUAUCAAGGUACCGGAGAUUGGGGUAUAGUUAGCAAGGAGAAGUAUACGUUGCCUGCUAGAAGAUAUCCACAGAAGCCCAGAAAACUUAACUGCCCCUCUUACAUGUCAAAAGGGACCUGCACAUACGGGCCCUCAUGCCACUUCAAUCACCCACCGCAGCUUAAAUCUAGAUCAGAUGAAUCAUGGCGUCCCUCUGAACGAAGAAACCAUGGCGCUGCAGAAAUUCUGGAACUGAACCGCCUUGGCCUUCCCAUUCGUGAAGGAGCAAGAAACUGUGACUACUAUAUGCGAACUGGUGCUUGCAGAUAUGGCAAAAACUGCCAUUUUAACCAUCCAGACCAUGUCAUUGAUGCUCAGUUUAGUCCACCAACAGGGUGGGAGGAUAAUGCUUUGCAAAUGGAGAAAUCUUCUGAUCAUACAUUAGAUGAGACAUCACGCAUGAAGAAAUCUUCCGAUGAUGCGACCUUCGAUGACAGAUCACACAUGAAGAAAUCUUCCGAUGAUGCGACCUUAGAUGACAGAUCACACUUGAAGAAACCUUCCGAUGGUGCGAUCGUAGAUGACACGUCAUACUCAAAGAAGUCUUCUGACCAUGACAACUCAUCUAGCUCUGGUGUCCUGCCACCAAGCAUAUUUAGAAUGCUUCUACCUCCCCAAAAAGUACUGCCUGGUACGGAAGGAAAGGCGAAAAAGAAGUCAGACUGGUCAUCAGACGAUUCCGAUGGUUGCUGUUCAGCAGAUAGUUCAGAUGGACCUUUGUGCAAGCAGGGGGAGCACGUGGAUUACCCUGAGAGGCCUGGCAGACCAGAAUAUCACCACCCAAAACAGUCAAAAUACAAAGAAGAGGUGAACUAUCCCGAGAGGCCUGGCAAACCAGAUUGCCCCUUCUACAUGAGAUUUGGUGAUUGUAAAUUUGCAUCAGCGUGCAACUAUCACCACCCAAAAGACAAAUACCCAGCUGGGAGACCUGAUGAACCAGAAUGCCCAUUCCUUAUGAAGCGUGGGUACUGUAAACUUAGGGCACAAUGUAAGUUUUAUCACCCAGAGGCUUCGAGCCCAACAGAUGCAAAAAGAUCUGUUACCACUGAUGAACAUCAUCCAUCUACAAGAAUCACAUUACAAGACUAUAUGCUUCCCCAGCAACCGCAGUAUCCUGAGAGGCCUGGUCAGCCAGAGUGCCGGUACUACUUGCAGUUUGGGAAAUGCAAAUAUCUGUCUGCAUGUAUAUUUCACCAUCCAAAAGAUAGACUUGCAGCUCACUCUGAUCAGAUUGGACCUGGCAUGCCAGAUUGUCCUUUCUAUAUGAAAGCUGGGAAAUGUCAAUUUGGAUCAGCAUGUGAAUUUCGUCAUCCCAAAGAUAUACAUUCAAGUUCAACUGCAGAGGAAGCAUUUGAUAAGAGAAGUGGGUCGGGGGUGUAUGAUAGUUUGACAAGGUCAGAUAAUGGCGUGGAGCAACAAGAAGAGAGCAUCAUGUAUCCUGAAAGGCCAGGUGAACCCGAGUGUAACCACUACAUGAGGCAGGGGUACUGUAAGUUCCAGAUGAACUGCAAGUACCAUCAUCCAGGAGACCGGCUGUCUAAGAAACAGUAUUGAAGUCAUCCGCAGCGACCACUUGAGCAAAGCAGGGACACGCUGGUUACCGCACGAAUGCUACCAACAGAAAGCAUUGUCUUGAUGUGUGAGCAGGUGUUGUUAGAGCAGGCUGGCUGGCUCAAGUGUGGGCGUGACUGACGACUGAAGAGAGAGGAGUAGGAUUCUGAUGAAUGGACCAAAGCUUGGAGCUAAUAUAAUCGUCGUAGUUUUUCUGGGAGCGAGUAGUUGCUAGUUAUGUCUGAUGAAUGAACCAAAGUUUGAGAGUUAGGCGGUUGCAACAUACUCUAUUUGUGUGGACCAGGCCAGGCCAGGCAAUCAUGAAUUUGCAAACUGUAAUCUAGCAAAGGUGUAGCAUGAAUGAACACCGAUGAGAUGAGAUUACUAGUACUAGUUAAUUAGCAUGAUGAUGUGGUGAGGAUGCACUCAUUUUAUUUUGACACUUUUUAAGGAAGCUUAGCUUUCUUGAAUCAUUUCAUUCUUG